UACGUAGGGUGCAAGCGUUGUCCGGAAUUAUUGGGCGUAAAGAGCUUGUAGGCGGUUUGUCGCGUCUGCUGUGAAAUUUCGGGGCUCAACCCCGAACUUGCAGUGGGUACGGGCAGACUAGAGUGUGGUAGGGGAGACUGGAAUUCCUGGUGUAGCGGUGAAAUGCGCAGACAUCAGGAGGAACACCGAUGGCGAAGGCAGGUCUCUGGGCCACUACUGACGCUGAGAAGCGAAAGCAUGGGGAGCGAACAGG
This 253-nucleotide ribosomal RNA is filed under the name uncultured bacterium. RNAcentral's name for it is "partial 16S ribosomal RNA". It matches the Rfam family "Bacterial small subunit ribosomal RNA", at positions 524 to 776 of the family's 1533-position model. The record is from RNAcentral.